Molecule: long non-coding RNA, 311 nt
Organism: Cyprinus carpio carpio
Lineage: Eukaryota; Metazoa; Chordata; Actinopteri; Cypriniformes; Cyprinidae
Source: Ensembl
AAAUUAAUGAUGACUGGGGCCAGAGGGUCGUCAAAAACAAAAAUGCAUCUCGGGUGGUGGCCUCUGCCCAAAUAGCUGUCCAAAAACUUUCUGCCUUGGGCUAUAUGCCCAUAUUAUUUAUCAGCCAGAGGCACAAGGGCACAGGCAAGUUGAUGGCAGAUGUAGUCACGCAUCUGCCACCGACGCAAAAAACAACACACGUUUCUUAACCAGCAUGAAGAGGGCAUAUGACUUCAUAAUCAAACUGGAUGAUGUGCCCCAGCCCCAGCCCCAGCAAGACCAGCCCCUCCACCUAGACCAACCCCUACCCC